GUGGAAUGGGGCGCAGCCUGAUCAGCCAUGCCGCGUGUGUGAAGAAGGCCUUCGGGUUGUAAAGCACUUUUGUCCGGAAAGAAAUCGCUCUUACUAAUACUUGGUGGGGAUGACGGUACCGGAAGAAUAAGGACCGGCUAACUACGUGCCAGCAGCCGCGGUAAUACGUAGGGUCCAAGCGUUAAUCGGAAUUACUGGGCGUAAAGCGUGCGCAGGCGGUUGUGCAAGACCGAUGUGAAAUCCCCGGGCUUAACCUGGGAAUUGCAUUGGUGACUGCCCGGCUAGAGUGUGUCAGAGGGGGGUAGAAUUCCCCGUGUAGCAGUGAAAUGCGUAGAGAUGUGAAGGAAUACCGAUGGCGAAGGCAGCCCCCUGGAAUAACACUGACGCUCAUGCACGAAAGCGUGGGGAGCAAACAGGAUUAGAUACCCUGGUAGUCCACGCCCUAAACGAUGUCAACUAGUUGUUGGGGAUUCUUUUCCUUAUUAACGUACCUAACGCGUGAAGUUGACCGCCUGGGGAGUACGGUCGCAAGAUUAAAACUCAAAUGAAUUGACGGG
This 557-nucleotide ribosomal RNA is filed under the name uncultured bacterium. Its description in RNAcentral is "bacterial SSU rRNA". It matches the Rfam family "Bacterial small subunit ribosomal RNA", at positions 366 to 917 of the family's 1533-position model. The record is from RNAcentral.